Molecule: ribosomal RNA, 505 nt
Filed under: uncultured bacterium
Lineage: Bacteria
Description: bacterial SSU rRNA
Rfam family: Bacterial small subunit ribosomal RNA
Source: RNAcentral
AGAGUUUGAUCCUGGCUCAGGACGAACGCUGGCGGCGUGCCUAACACAUGCAAGUCGAGCGAGGACAGUGAAGUAGCAAUACGACACUGUUCUAGCGGCGGACGGGUGAGUAACGCGUGAGCAACCUGUCCCGAACAGGGGGAUAACGAGCCGAAAGGCUCACUAAUACCGCAUAAGACCACAGCGUCACAUGACGCAGAGGUCAAAGGAGAAAUCCGGUUCGGGGUGGGCUCGCGUCUGAUUAGCUAGUUGGUGGGGUAACGGCCUACCAAGGCGACGAUCAGUAGCCGACCUGAGAGGGUGAUCGGCCACAUUGGAACUGAGAGACGGUCCAAACUCCUACGGGAGGCAGCAGUGGGGAAUAUUGGGCAAUGGGCGAAAGCCUGACCCAGCAACGCCGCGUGAAGGAAGAAGGUCUUCGGAUCGUAAACUUCUAUCCCCGGUGAAGAUAAUGACGGUAACCGGGAAGGAAGCCCCGGCUAACUACGUGCCAGCAGCCGCGGUA